GUCCAAAGCUUUGGCCUUUGAGGGGAGAUUUCCGGUGCGGAGGAGCGAGAGGAGGAUGGAGAAGAGCUCCGGGUCGCGGUCGAUGAAGGGAGGAGGGAGGUGAGGUGCGGCGGAGUCGGAGAUUUUGGAGAGGAGAGAGUCCGGGCCGGCUAGGGUUAGGGUUUGCUUGGUGGUCUGGAAGAGCUGGCCGCCGACGUCAAUGGUGGCGAUGUUGGAUUCGGGUCUGUGGUUU
RNAcentral lists this long non-coding RNA (232 nucleotides) under Fragaria vesca (wild strawberry). Its description in RNAcentral is "long non-coding RNA (FVES_LNC002166)". The record is from RNAcentral. Lineage: Eukaryota; Viridiplantae; Streptophyta; Magnoliopsida; Rosales; Rosaceae.